This is a long non-coding RNA of Malurus melanocephalus (red-backed fairy wren), 220 nucleotides long. RefSeq lists it as uncharacterized. The record is from RefSeq and is a predicted model, not a curated record. The transcript is spliced from 3 exons. Lineage: Eukaryota; Metazoa; Chordata; Aves; Passeriformes; Maluridae.
UGGAACUGGGGAUACUGGGAUGGACUGGAAUGGGACUGGGAUCAAACUGGGUUAAACUGGGAUGGACUGGGAACGGCGCGGCUGAACUGGGAGCACUGGAGGGGCCAGCUCUGGUUCGCCGCCUGCCUCAUCUCGGGGGUUCUGGACUAUCAGGAGCGGCUGCGCAGAAAGGACCCCCCCGAGCCCUGGGUCCAGGCCGCUUUUGGGGGGUGCCGGGUGG